Lactobacillus hominis is the source of this 175-nucleotide non-coding RNA. NCBI's taxonomy places the organism in Bacteria, Bacillati, Bacillota, Bacilli, Lactobacillales, Lactobacillaceae. The record is from Rfam.
GAAUUUUCGAUAUAACAUUUAUCGCAGAAAGUUUUAUGAGCGGCGGUUAUUUUUCCUCCCAGAGGUGAGGCCUAUGGUCAAUAUACUACAGAAAGGGUUCAACCAUGUCGGUUUACGAAAGCAUUUCUUUAAUGCUUUUAUUUGGUACGUUUGUGUUAGCUUUGCUAACCUACAU